CCUACGUGCGACAGCAGUGAGGAAUAUUGGUCAAUGGGCUUACGCCUGAACCAGCCAAGUCGCGUGAGGGAAGACUGCCCUAUGGGUUGUAAACCUCUUUUGUCAGGGAGCAACGCCGGCUACGUGUAGCCGGACUGAGAGUACGUGAAGAAAAAGCAUCGGCUAACUCCGUGGCAGCAGCCGCGGUAAUACGGAGGAUGCGAGCGUUAUCCGGAUUUAGUGGGUUUAAAGGGUGCGUAGGCGGAAUGCCAAGUCAGCGGUAAAAUCGCGGGGCUCAACCUCGCUCCGCCGUUGAAACUGGCGUUCUUGAGUGGGCGAGAAGUAUGCGGAAUGCGUGGUGUAGCGGUGAAAUGCAUAGAUAUCACGCAGAACUCCGAUUGCGAAGGCAGCAUACCGGCGCCCAACUGACGCUGAAGCACGAAAGCGUGGGUAUCGAACAGGAUUAGAUACCCCAGUAGUC
Molecule: ribosomal RNA, 460 nt
Filed under: uncultured bacterium
Lineage: Bacteria
Description: partial 16S ribosomal RNA
Rfam family: Bacterial small subunit ribosomal RNA
Source: RNAcentral